ACCAAUUAAAACUAUAAUGAGAUACCGUCUCACACCUGUUAAAAUGGCUAUUACAAGAAAAAGAAUAACAAAUGUUGGAGAGGAUACAGAUAAAAGGAAACUCUUGUACACUGUGGGAAUGUAAACAAGCACAGAUAUUACAGAAAAUAGUAAGGAGGUUUCUCUGGAAAUUUAAAAUAGAAUUACCAUAUGACCCAAUAAUCCUACUUCUGGGUAUAUGUCAAAAGGAAAUUAAAUCAGUAUGUUGAGUUGAUACCUGCACUCUCAUGUUGAUACUCAUUUACAGUGGCCAAAGUAUGCAAUCAAACUGACCAUUGACAGAUGAAUGGAUAAGGAAAAUGUAGUGUGUGUAGGUAUGGAUGUCAGUUAGGAGGAAUAAGUUCUGGAGAUGGUCAGCAUAGUGACUGUAGUUAAUAAUAACAUACCGUGUUGAGUCCCUGACUUAUGAUGGCUCAACUUACAAUUUUUCAACUUUAAGGUGAGUUUAUUGAGACAUAAUUGAAUGCAUUUCUUUUUGUUUUGUUUUGUUUUGUUUUGAGAUGGAGUCUUGCUUUGUUGCCCAGGCUGGAGUGCAGUGGUGCGAUCUUGGCUCCCUGCAACCUCUACCUCCCAGGUUCGAGCAAUCCUCCUGCCUCAGCCUCCCCAGUAGCUGGGAUUACAGACACCUGCCACCACACCUGGCUAUUUUUUGUAUUUUUAGUAGAGGCGGGGUUUCGCCAUGUUGUCCAGGCUGGUCUUGAACUCCUGACCUUAGGUGAUCCAUCUGCCUCAGCCUCCCAAAGUGAUGGGAAUACAGGUGUGAGCCACUGCACCUGGCCAAUUCAAUGCAUUUCGACUUAUGAUAUUUUCAAUGUUGUUACCAUAAAAAAUGUUAAAUGUUCCCACCAUAGAAAAAGUAUAUGAGAUGAUGGAUAUGUUAAUUAGCAUGGUUUAAUCUUAUACAAUGUGUACAUAUAGGACAGCAUUGUGUUAAUAUAUAAAUAUGUACACCAUAAAUAUGUAAUAUUUUUGUCAUUUGAAUCUUAAUAAAGCUAAAAAAGAUUUUUAAAAAGCGUAAGUCCCAAUGUUAAGCUUCCUUAGACAAAUCUAAACACUGCAAAUAUUAUUUCUAAAAGUUUUUUUUAUAGAAUUGAUAUCAUUAACUUUUUUUAACACUGCCAUCUUUUAUUUUAGAUUUACAGGGUAUGUAUGCAGGCUUGUUACAUGUGUAUAUUCCAUGAUACUGAAGUUUGGGGUCUGAUUGAUCCCAUUGUCCAGAACUAAUGUCUUCAAGGAUGCACAUCAAAAAAAGAAGAGACCCAGGAUAUGAAGCUUUAAAUGUGGACUGCUUUAUUUUAGGUACAAAUGCCAGUGGAAACUUUCCAUUUUUAUAAUAAUCAUUAUUGUUUUGUUAGGGCUCAGAUUUAAAAGUUCCUUAGGUAUUGUGUGGUCUGGCACUAUCUUCACAAUAAGUCUAACUAUUUUUAUUUUGCAGAACAUGAGGUUAUACAGAAGUGCAUAUAUUGUGUUAGAGCAGGAAUGCCUGUACUUGAUUCUGGCUUAGUGGUAGUCAUUUUUUUGAUUAAUAAAGGUAGUUUUAAUUUUUAUCCUAUUUCUUUUCAGGGCCCAUUAUAGUGUUUCGCAGGCCCAUUACUAACUCAUUUGUGUGCAUUAGGAAAAGAUUUUCCUUCCACUGAGCAGAUGUAGGUUUGUAAUUGCAGGGUUUGGAGUACAGAACUCUUGCUGGAUUUUACUUGCAUCUUCAUCCAGGCCCGUGUACAGUUCAGUUUGAAAACAUUACAUGGUUGCCUGGCUUCCUGAACAAAAGUGAGACAUGCACACACAUACACACAAUGCUUAUUGAACAGUGAAAUUGUUUCUUUAGCAAAUAAAUGUUUUGAUUAGUUUAACAUUUAUUUACAGUAUUUCCCUUUUAAAAAUAUGUCCUUAUUUGUCAAUGUUUGAUGUUACACAAAGAUUUUACAAACAUAUUUAAGACUAUUUUACAGGCUAUAACUUUGAAAAUUCUUUCCAUACAAGAGAAGAGGCGUGGUAGCGAUAGAAUGCAUAAAUAUUUCCCAAUCUCUCCUUUUUUUUCUUUUUUUUCUUUGAGGGGUGGGAGGAUAGAUAAUAAGAGAAGAAGACUAAAUUUGCCCAUCCCAUAUAUGAAUUAUUUUUAAUUAAUACUGAAAUUUUCAGUUUAGGCAGUUGACACUAGGUUCUGCCAGAGUUCUAGGCAGAAUUGCAUAAGAUCUCAAGAUGUGUUUACUCCAUUUAUUCUUCCUUUUUGGAACCCUUUUUAAGUUCCAACCUCAGAUAGUCCUUGGACAUCCUAAACUGCACUUUUUAAUGUGGUUUAUCUUCAUGCCAGAAUUUCUAGAGGUCACAACUGUAUAUUUAUUUUUUUGUUUUUGUUUGUUGUUUACUUCAUGAAUGUGUGCAUAUAUGUGUCUAUAUUGUGUGUGUACAACUUGAUGAUAGAGUAUGUAAGUUAUUAACUUGUAUGUCAGUAAGGCUCAUCUUAAAGACAAUGAACAUUUUAAAUGAGAACUUGUUAGCCCAAAUGAUCCUAAUAGCAUGAAAUAUUUUCGAGGGAGGAAUAUGUUAUUUAAGGUAUAUGUUAAGCUUUUAUAACAAGGAGAAGUCAACAUAAAUAUAUAGAAUUUAUUUUUCUCUCAUUUAACGGUCAAGAAUUAGAUAUGCUUUACAGGGUUUAGCAGAGACCUUUUAGCUUUGCUGUUCCUUAGGAUGCUGCCCUUGCCUGCAUUGUUGAGAGUCACUGGUACUUCAUUUCAUUUCCAUAUUCAGUCAUUUUUAAUGAUAAACCCAAUCAUUUAUAAUGGCCAGACCUAGAAGUUGUGCACAUAAUUUUGGCUCACGUUUUAUUUUCAAGGACUUUGUUGUAUAGUCAGACCUAACUGCAAGUAAGGCUGGGAAAUAAGGUCUCUAAGCUGAGCUGCUGAGGGCUCAGCUGAAACCCAAGGAGCUCUAUUAUCCAAAAAGUAUAGGAGGAUGGAUAUUAGGGGAAAACAAGAAGUCUAUUCAGUUUGCCUCUUUGGCUACCCAAAUGUCCAUGUACCUCUUUCUCAUUCAUAAAACAUACCAUCUUCUCAAGGAUGAUAACCCAAAGUCACAUUCAUUGGGUAAAGUCCUCUAUAUCGGGUUUCUGUGUGGUUCAUCAUGAUGUGGUGACCAAUAAACUAAGAGACAAGUUUCCUAAUUUUCUUGACCUCUUGCUUCUUGUAUGAUGGUAUAAAGGACAAGGAAAAUUCCCAAUGGGAAAAAAAAGAAUGGGCCAUAUAUGAUAGUUCCUGUUCCUUACAAUAAUAGACUUCUUGCUCUGGCAGUGGAGUAAGGUCUUGCUAGGACCUUAAUUUUGCUUUCUGAGAUAAGCUCCCUUGUCAUUUGUCCUUCAUAGUCCCUGACCUUGCUCUUUGGGAAUUACUCUUGGUCUAUGAUUCUUUGUGACUGUAUCUAACAUGGGUGUUAGUGUACUCUUAUUGGAGACACCACUGCAUUCUCACCCUGCUUUCUAUUGGUGCAGAUUUGGCUCCCAGGGAUAGUCUUUGUUAGGCUUAUGGUAGUAUUUCCUAGUCGAGUUCCCUCCGAAAUGUAGGUUUCCAUUCUCUUUUUCUUCCUGUCAGUUAUAUGUGAAAAUACCACAGCCAAAGAUCUCAUUUUGUCAUAGUUGUUAAGCCUAUGCACUUAUUAAUUUACUAGUUAUUUUCCUCAGACUAUCCACCUCUCCCUCAAUUUGAUAACUGCCUUAGUGUAGUGGCUACUCUACACAUGCUCUAACAAAGCUUUAAAGUAAGCUGAAAUUUAUGAAGUUGAACAGCAAGUAAUAUAAUAACCUGUCAGAACAGAAUUCAUCACUCUUUAAGGAAGACCACAAAAUCCACACAUUAACAACAUAAUCAUAGUACCCUUAAAAUAUGUAUUUAUAUAAAACCUACUAGACAUGUGUGUAUGUAUGUGCACAUGUGUGUAUUCAACUAUUAGGCAUGCAAAGAAGCGGAGAAAAAUUAUUAAUGGAAACUGAUGUGGAAAUGAUAAUGAUCAUGAAAGUAGUUGGCAAAGAGCUUAAAAUAUCUAUUGUAAAUAUGCUCAAGGACUUAAAAGGAAAAUGUGAACAUAAUGAAAGAAAUUGAACAUAUAAAGAACCAUUGAACGUUCAGAAGCUAAAAAUAUCUGAAAUGUAAAACGACUUCAGCUAACAAGGGAAUAGUCAUUCAGAAGAAGUGGUUAAUAAAUAAAAAUCACUGCUAACUUCUCACUAGAAGGUAUGUAAGCCAGAAAAAUGGAAUGAUAUAUUUAAAGUGCUGAAAGGUGGGGAAAAAAAGUCAGUCUAAAAUUCUCUGCCCAGUGAAACAUUUUAAAAAACAGAGACAAAAUGACAUUUCCAGAUAAGCAAAAAUAGAGAGAAGUUGUCAGUAUACACGCACUAAAGAAAUUUUAAAAGAUGAUCUUCAGGCUGAAGGAAAAUCAUACUGGGUAAAAACAGAUUUACAUAAAGGAAAAAAGAAAUGUUAAGAAAUGGUAAAUAUGUGGGUCUGAAAUAUGUAGAAAUUAAAUCACACAUUUCCAAAUAACUCGUGGAUGAA
This 4583-nucleotide long non-coding RNA is filed under the name Homo sapiens (human). RNAcentral describes it as "HSALNT0308635". The record is from RNAcentral. Lineage: Eukaryota; Metazoa; Chordata; Mammalia; Primates; Hominidae.